GAUGAACCCCUUAUAGAGGCUUAACACAUGCAAGUCGAGGGGCAGCAUGGUCUUUGCUUGCUAAGGCCGAUGGCGACCGGCGCACGGGUGAGUAACACGUAUCCAACCUGCCGUCUACUCUUGGACAGCCUUCUGAAAGGAAGAUUAAUACAAGAUGGCAUCAUGAGUCCACAUGUUCACAUGAUUAAAGGUAUUCCGGUAGACGAUGGGGAUGCGUUCCAUUAGAUAGUAGGCGGGGUAACGGCCCACCUAGUCUUCGAUGGAUAGGGGUUCUGAGAGGAAGGUCCCCCACAUUGGAACUGAGACACGGUCCAAACUCCUACGGGAGGCAGCAGUGAGGAAUAUUGGUCAAUGGGCGAGAGCCUGAACCAGCCAAGUAGCGUGAAGGAUGACUGCCCUAUGGGUUGUAAACUUCUUUUAUAAAGGAAUAAAGUCGGGUAUGCAUACCCGUUUGCAUGUACUUUAUGAAUAAGGAUCGGCUAACUCCGUGCCAGCAGCCGCGGUAAUACGGAGGAUCCGAGCGUUAUCCGGAUUUAUUGGGUUUAAAGGGAGCGUAGAUGGAUGUUUAAGUCAGUUGUGAAAGUUUGCGGCUCAACCGUAAAAUUGCAGUUGAUACUGGAUAUCUUGAGUGCAGUUGAGGCAGGCGGAAUUCGUGGUGUAGCGGUGAAAUGCUUAGAUAUCACGAAGAACUCCGAUUGCGAAGGCAGCCUGCUAAGCUGCAACUGACAUUGAGGCUCGAAAGUGUGGGUACCAAACAGGAUUAGAUACCCUGGUAGUCCACACGGUAAACGAUGAAUACUCGCUGUUUGCGAUAUACAGCAAGCGGCCAAGCGAAAGCGUUAAGUAUUCCACCUGGGGAGUACGCCGGCAACGGUGAAACUCAAAGGAAUUGACGGGGGCCCGCACAAGCGGAGGAACAUGUGGUUUAAUUCGAUGAUACGCGAGGAACCUUACCCGGGCUUAAAUUGCAGAUGAAUUACGGUGAAAGCCGUAAGCCGCAAGGCAUCUGUGAAGGUGCUGCAUGGUUGUCGUCAGCUCGUGCCGUGAGGUGUCGGCUUAAGUGCCAUAACGAGCGCAACCCUUGUUGUCAGUUACUAACAGGUCAUGCUGAGGACACUGACAAGACUGCCAUCGUAAGAUGUGAGGAAGGUGGGGAUGACGUCAAAUCAGCACGGCCCUUACGUCCGGGGCUACACACGUGUUACAAUGGGGGGUACAGAGGGCCGCUACCACGCGAGUGGAUGCCAAUCCCAAAAACCUCUCUCAGUUCGGACUGGAGUCUGCAACCCGACUCCACGAAGCUGGAUUCGCUAGUAAUCGCGCAUCAGCCACGGCGCGGUGAAUACGUUCCCGGGCCUUGUACACACCGCCCGUCAAGCCAUGGGAGCCGGGGGUACCUGAAGUGCGUAACAGCGAGGAGCGCCCUAGGGUAAAACUGGUGACUGGGGCUAA
This 1452-nucleotide ribosomal RNA is filed under the name uncultured organism. RNAcentral describes it as "SSU rRNA". It matches the Rfam family "Bacterial small subunit ribosomal RNA". The record is from RNAcentral.